This 245-nucleotide ribosomal RNA is filed under the name uncultured Treponema sp. Its description in RNAcentral is "partial 16S ribosomal RNA". It matches the Rfam family "Bacterial small subunit ribosomal RNA", at positions 524 to 768 of the family's 1533-position model. Lineage: Bacteria; Pseudomonadati; Spirochaetota; Spirochaetia; Treponematales; Treponemataceae. The record is from RNAcentral.
CACGUAAGUUGCGAGCGUUGUUCGGAAUUAUUGGGCGUAAAGGGUAUGUAGGCGGCUGUGAAAGCUUGGUGUGAAAGGCAGGGGCUCAACCCCUGGACUGCAUUGAGAACUGCACGGCUAGAAUUACUGAAGGGCAGCCAGAAUUCCAGGUGUAGGGGUGAAAUCUGUAGAUAUCUGGAAGAAUACCAAUGGCGAAGGCAGGCUGCUGGCAGAUGAUUGACGCUGAGGUACGAAAGUGCGGGGAG